This 103-nucleotide small nuclear RNA is filed under the name Vulpes vulpes (red fox). Lineage: Eukaryota; Metazoa; Chordata; Mammalia; Carnivora; Canidae. The record is from RNAcentral.
GUGCUCGCUUCGGCAGCACAUAUACUAAAAUUGGAACGAUACAGAGUAGAAUGUCCCUUAUUAAAGGGACAAAAAGUAGACGGCAUCAGAGCCAGAGAUUUUG